RNAcentral lists this ribosomal RNA (497 nucleotides) under uncultured bacterium. RNAcentral's name for it is "partial 16S ribosomal RNA". It matches the Rfam family "Bacterial small subunit ribosomal RNA", at positions 28 to 507 of the family's 1533-position model. The record is from RNAcentral.
GAUGAACGCUGGCGGCGUGCCUAAUACAUGCAAGUCGAACGCAUAGCGAAAGGUGCUUGCACCUUUCAAGUGAGUGGCGAACGGGUGAGUAACACGUGGACAACCUGCCUCAAGGCUGGGGAUAACAUUUGGAAACAGAUGCUAAUACCGAAUAAAACUUAGUGCCGCAUGACACAAAGUUAAAAGGCGCUUCGGCGUCACCUAGAGAUGGAUCCGCGGUGCAUUAGUUAGUUGGUGGGGUAAAGGCCUACCAAGACAAUGAUGCAUAGCCGAGUUGAGAGACUGAUCGGCCACAUUGGGACUGAGACACGGCCCAAACUCCUACGGGAGGCUGCAGUAGGGAAUCUUCCACAAUGGGCGAAAGCCUGAUGGAGCAACGCCGCGUGUGUGAUGAAGGCUUUCGGGUCGUAAAGCACUGUUGUAUGGGAAGAACAGCUAGAAUAGGAAAUGAUUUUAGUUUGACGGUACCAUACCAGAAAGGGACGGCUAAAUACGUG